RNAcentral lists this ribosomal RNA (440 nucleotides) under uncultured bacterium. Its description in RNAcentral is "partial 16S ribosomal RNA". It matches the Rfam family "Bacterial small subunit ribosomal RNA", at positions 338 to 795 of the family's 1533-position model. The record is from RNAcentral.
CCUACGGGGGGCUGCAGUGGGGAAUAUUGCACAAUGGGGGAAACCCUGAUGCAGCGACGCCGCGUGAGUGAAGAAGUAACUCGUUAUGUAAAGCCUUAUCAGCAGGGAAGAAAAUGACGGUACCUGAGUAAGAAGCCACGGCUAACUACGUGCCAGCAGCCGCGGUAAUACGUAGGGGGCAAGCGGUAUCCGGAUUUACUGGGUGGAAAGGGAGCGUAGUCGGGACUGCAAGUCUGGAGUGAAAGGCGGGGGGUCAACCCCCGGACUGCUGUGGAAACUGUACGGCUGGAGUGCAGGAGAGGUAAGUGGAAUGCCUAGUGUAGCGGUGAAAUGCGUAGAUAUUAGGAGGAACACCAGUGGCGAAGGCAGCUUACUGGACUGUAACUGACGCUGAGGCUCGAAGGCGUGGGGAGCGAACAGGAUUAGAUACCCGAGUAGUC